RNAcentral lists this ribosomal RNA (467 nucleotides) under uncultured bacterium. RNAcentral's name for it is "bacterial SSU rRNA". It matches the Rfam family "Bacterial small subunit ribosomal RNA", at positions 44 to 493 of the family's 1533-position model. The record is from RNAcentral.
GUGCCUAACACAUGCAAGUCGAACGAGAAAGUUCCUUCGGGGACGAGUAGAGUGGCGCACGGGUGAGUAACGCGUGGGUAAUCUGCCCUAGGGCGGGGGAUAACUUCUAGAAAUGGAAGCUAAUACCGCAUACGUCCGCUCCUUUGCGGAGGAGUGGAGAAAGGUGGGGAUCUUCGGACCUGCCACCCUUGGAUGAGCCCGCGUACCAUUAGGUAGUUGGUGAGGUAAAAGCUCACCAAGCCGAAGAUGGUUAGCUGGUCUGAGAGGAUGAUCAGCCACACUGGGACUGAGACACGGCCCAGACUCCUACGGGAGGCAGCAGUGGGGAAUAUUGCGCAAUGGAGGCAACUCUGACGCAGCAACGCCGCGUGUGUGAAGAAGGCUUUCGGGUCGUAAAGCACUGUUGAGUAGGAAGAGAAGGGAUAGGUUAAUACCCUGUCCCCCGACGGUACUAUUCGAGGAAGCAC